RNAcentral lists this ribosomal RNA (802 nucleotides) under uncultured bacterium. Its description in RNAcentral is "bacterial SSU rRNA". It matches the Rfam family "Bacterial small subunit ribosomal RNA", at positions 8 to 796 of the family's 1533-position model. The record is from RNAcentral.
AGAGUUUGAUCAUGGCUCAGGACGAACGCUGGCGGCGUGCUUAACACAUGCAAGUCGAGCGGAAAGGCUUCCUUCGGGAAGUACUCGAGCGGCGAACGGGUGAGUAACACGUGGAUAAUCAACCUCUUGCUCUGGAAUACCCCGGGGAAACUCGGAUCAAUGCCAGAUAAAGUGCGGUGCUGCAGGGUGCCGUACCAAAGAUAGCUUCGGCCUUCGGCGAGAGACGAGUCCGCGGCCCAUUAGCUAGUUGGCGGGGUAAUGGCCCACCAAGGCUACGAUGGGUAGCUGGUCUGAGAGGAUGAUCAGCCGCACUGGGACUGAGACACGGCCCAGACUCCUACGGGAGGCAGCAGUGGGGAAUCUUGCGCAAUGGGCGAAAGCCUGACGCAGCAACGCCGCGUGCGGGAGGAAGGCCUUCGGGUUGUAAACCGCUUUCAGGGGAGACGAAGCUUCCAGGGUGAAUAGCUCUGUGGAGUGACGGUAUCUUCAGAAGAAGUCCCGGCUAACUACGUGCCAGCAGCCGCGGUGAUACGUAGGGGACAAGCGUUGUCCGGAAUUAUUGGGCGUAAAGCGCGUGUAGGCGGCCAAGUAAGUCUUACGUGAAAUCCUGAGGCUCAACCUCAGGCCUGCGCGGGAUACUGCUUGGCUAGAGUCCGGAAGAGGAGAGUGGAAUUCCUGGUGUAGCGGUGGAAUGCGCAGAUAUCAGGAGGAACAUCCGUGGCGAAGGCGGCUCUCUGGGACGGUACUGACGCUGAGACGCGAAAGCGUGGGGAGCGAACAGGAUUAGAUACCCUAGUAGUCC